GCUUAACACAUGCAAGUCGAGGGGCAGCAUGGUCUUAGCUUGCUAAGGCCGAUGGCGACCGGCGCACGGGUGAGUAACACGUAUCCAACCUGCCGUCUACUCUUGGACAGCCUUCUGAAAGGAAGAUUAAUACAAGAUGGCAUCAUGAGUCCGCAUGUUCACAUGAUUAAAGGUAUUCCGGUAGACGAUGGGGAUGCGUUCCAUUAGAUAGUAGGCGGGGUAACGGCCCACCUAGUCUUCGAUGGAUAGGGGUUCUGAGAGGAAGGUCCCCCACAUUGGAACUGAGACACGGUCCGAACUCCUACGGGAGGCAGCAGUGAGGAAUAUUGGUCAAUGGGCGAGAGCCUGAACCAGCCAAGUAGCGUGAAGGAUGACUGCCCUAUGGGUUGUAAACUUCUUUUAUAAAGGAAUAAAGUCGGGUAUGCAUACCCGUUUGCAUGUACUUUAUGAAUAAGGAUCGGCUAACUCCGUGCCAGCAGCCGCGGUAAUACGGAGGAUCCGAGCGUUAUCCGGAUUUAUUGGGUUUAAAGGGAGCGUAGAUGGAUGUUUAAGUCAGUUGUGAAAGUUUGCGGCUCAACCGUAAAAUUGCAGUUGAUACUGGAUAUCUUGAGUGCAGUUGAGGCAGGCGGAAUUCGUGGUGUAGCGGUGAAAUGCUUAGAUAUCACGAAGAACUCCGAUUGCGAAGGCAGCCUGCUAAGCUGCAACUGACAUUGAGGCUCGAAAGUGUGGGUAUCAAACAGGAUUAGAUACCCUGGUAGUCCACACGGUAAACGAUGAAUACUCGCUGUUUGCGAUAUACGGCAAGCGGCCAAGCGAAAGCGUUAAGUAUUCCACCUGGGGAGUACGCCGGCAACGGUGAAACUCAAAGGAAUUGACGGGGGCCCGCACAAGCGGAGGAACAUGUGGUUUAAUUCGAUGAUACGCGAGGAACCUUACCCGGGCUUAAAUUGCAGAUGAAUUACGGUGAAAGCCGUAAGCCGCAAGGCAUCUGUGAAGGUGCUGCAUGGUUGUCGUCAGCUCGUGCCGUGAGGUGUCGGCUUAAGUGCCAUAACGAGCGCAACCCUUGUUGUCAGUUACUAACAGGUUCCGCUGAGGACUCUGACAAGACUGCCAUCGUAAGAUGUGAGGAAGGUGGGGAUGACGUCAAAUCAGCACGGCCCUUACGUCCGGGGCUACACACGUGUUACAAUGGGGGGUACAGAGGGCCGCUACCACGCGAGUGGAUGCCAAUCCCAAAAACCUCUCUCAGUUCGGACUGGAGUCUGCAACCCGACUCCACGAAGCUGGAUUCGCUAGUAAUCGCGCAUCAGCCACGGCGCGGUGAAUACGUUCCCGGGCCUUGUACACACCGCCCGUCAAGCCAUGGGAGCCGGGGGUACCUGAAGUGCGUAACCGCGAGGAGCGCCCUAGGGUAAAACUGGUGACUGGGGCUAAGUCAUAA
Molecule: ribosomal RNA, 1441 nt
Filed under: uncultured organism
Description: SSU rRNA
Rfam family: Bacterial small subunit ribosomal RNA
Source: RNAcentral